AUAAGCAAAAUAAGGGCGUAUGGGGAAUGCCUAGGCUCUCAGAGGCGAAGAAGGACGUGAUAAGCUGCGAAAAGCUACGGGGAUUGGCACACACGAAUUGAUCCGUAGAUAUCCGAAUGGGGCAACCCAGUAUGUUGAAGACAUACUAUCCUGUAUAGGAGGCGAACCCGCUGAACUGAAACAUCUAAGUAGGCGGAGGAGAAGAAAACAAAAGUGAUUCCGUAAGUAGUGGCGAGCGAACGCGGAAUAGCCCAAACCAAAGUUGUUACGGCAAUUUUGGGGUUGUAGGACCACGA
Molecule: ribosomal RNA, 296 nt
Filed under: Myroides odoratimimus
Lineage: Bacteria; Pseudomonadati; Bacteroidota; Flavobacteriia; Flavobacteriales; Flavobacteriaceae
Description: partial 23S ribosomal RNA
Rfam family: Bacterial large subunit ribosomal RNA
Source: RNAcentral